AGUGGUGUGAAUUUUUUAGAUGCUAGGCUUUUAUCCAAAGCUGUGUGUGUUAGUUUUUUUAAUUGGCAAUAAUUAUUUUUUUCUUCAAAUUAUGGCUAUAUUUGUGUUUUGCUCAAAAAGGUCUGGGCUUUUUCAGUAUCUUGGUGUUUGACUUCUAAUUCCUGUAAAUAAAAGCUCAAAUAUUUUGUUCAUGGGCCUCUCG
Molecule: long non-coding RNA, 202 nt
Filed under: Prunus persica (peach)
Lineage: Eukaryota; Viridiplantae; Streptophyta; Magnoliopsida; Rosales; Rosaceae
Description: long non-coding RNA (PPER_LNC008009)
Source: RNAcentral